UACGUAGGUGGCGAGCGUUGUCCGGAUUUACUGGGCGUAAAGGGAGCGUAGGCGGGCUUUUAAGUGAGAUGUGAAAUACUCGAGCUCAACUUGAGUGCUGCAUUUCAAACUGGAAGUCUAGAGUGCAGGAGAGGAGAAUGGAAUUCCUAGUGUAGCGGUGAAAUGCGUAGAGAUUAGGAAGAACACCAGUGGCGAAGGCGAUUCUCUGGACUGUAACUGACGCUGAGGCUCGAAAGCGUGGGGAGCAAACAGG
Molecule: ribosomal RNA, 253 nt
Filed under: uncultured bacterium
Lineage: Bacteria
Description: partial 16S ribosomal RNA
Rfam family: Bacterial small subunit ribosomal RNA
Source: RNAcentral